CAACCAACACUUGGCACAGUUCUUGAAGGUUUUGUGUAAGGGAUAAGGACUGGACCUUUGAUUUCAUUGGUUAAAAGGAAUUCUCAGUUGUUCUGUUCUCGUUUCAUCAGAGCAGAUGGAAUAUAACUGGGUCCCAAACAUUCCUGAUGUGACGAUGAAAGGAAGGAGGGUUUCAGAACACAGCAAGAUGAGAAGAAUCACAGUGGUAGGUAGGGCAAAUGAGCUGCAUUUUGUCCAGGCUUCUUCAAAGCAAUACAAGAAAUGAAAUCCCACCAGGAUGAGAGCAUGCAGGACAAUAAAUGAGUGCUAUAUACAUUGUAAA
This is a long non-coding RNA of Monodelphis domestica (gray short-tailed opossum), 322 nucleotides long. RefSeq lists it as uncharacterized. The record is from RefSeq and is a predicted model, not a curated record. NCBI's taxonomy places the organism in Eukaryota, Metazoa, Chordata, Mammalia, Didelphimorphia, Didelphidae.